This 313-nucleotide signal recognition particle RNA is filed under the name Candidatus Bathyarchaeota archaeon. RNAcentral's name for it is "signal recognition particle sRNA". It matches the Rfam family "Archaeal signal recognition particle RNA". The record is from RNAcentral. Lineage: Archaea; Thermoproteati; Candidatus Bathyarchaeota.
CGGCAGGUAGGACCGGGGAGCUAGCCCUGCCCUACGCCUCAAAUGGGCUUCACGGAGGGGUCAGCAACCCCAGGGUGAGCGGGGGAAGCGGGGCCGUAAGACGCCGCGCCGUCCGUCGAGGGCUCGCCCCGCGGGGCUGGCGGUUGACCUGCGCCGCCCUCGUAGGGGGGCGGCGGGGCAUUCGCCGGGCGAACCUGGCCAGGCCCGGGAGGGAGCAACCUAAGUCUGGACGUUCAGCGCUCGCGGGAUCCGAGAAGGAGGAGGGCGGGGUGCCCCUGCGACCCCACCAGCCUGCGAUCCCGGGGAGCUGCCG